UGCCAGCCGCCGCGGUAACACGUACUGUGCGAACGUUAUUCGGAAUCACUGGGCUUAAAGGGUGCGUAGGCGGCGAAUCAAGUCAGGUGUGAAAGGCCUGAGCUCAACUGAGGCAUUGCGCUUGAAACUGAUUCGCUUGAGUAUUUCAGGGGUGUGCGGAACUGCCAGUGGAGCGGUGAAAUGUGUUGAUAUUGGCAGGAACACCGGAGGCGAAAGCGGCACACUGGGGAAUAACUGACGCUGAGGCACGAAAGCCAGGGUAGCGAACGGGAUUAGAUA
Molecule: ribosomal RNA, 279 nt
Filed under: uncultured bacterium
Lineage: Bacteria
Description: partial 16S ribosomal RNA
Rfam family: Bacterial small subunit ribosomal RNA
Source: RNAcentral